AGGAUGCACGCACGUGACUGAAACGGUCCCAGACUCUACGGAAGCAGCAGUGGGAAUAUUGCACCAAUGGGCGCCAAGCUGAUGCAGCAUGCGCGUGUAUGAAGAAGCCUUCGGUUUAAGUACUUUCAGCGGGGAGGAAGGCGAUAAGGGUUAAUAACUUGUCGAUUGACGUACCCGCAGAAGAAGCACGGCUAACUCGUGCCAGCAGCCGCGGUAAUACGGAGGGUGCAAGCGUAAUCGGAAUUACUGGGCGUAAAGCGCACGCAGGCGGUCUGUCAAGUCGGAUGUGAAAUCCCCGGGCUCAACCUGGGAACUGCAUUCGAAACUGGCAGGCUAGAGUCUUGUAGAGGGGGGUAGAAUUCCAGGUGUAGCGGUGAAAUGCGUAGAGAUCUGGAGGAAUACCGGUGGCGAAGGCGGCCCCCUGGACAAAGACUGACGCUCAGGUGCGAAAGCGUGGGGAGCAAACAGGAUUAGAUACCCUGGUAGUCCACGCCGUAAACGAUGUCGACUUGGAGGUUGUGCCCUUGAGGCGUGGCUUCCGGAGCUAACGCGUUAAGUCGACCGCCUGGGGAGUACGGCCGCAAGGUUAAAACUCAAAUGAAUUGACGGGGGCCCGCACAAGCGGUGGAGCAUGUGGUUUAAUUCGAUGCAACGCGAAGAACCUUACCUACUC
This 673-nucleotide ribosomal RNA is filed under the name uncultured bacterium. RNAcentral describes it as "bacterial SSU rRNA". It matches the Rfam family "Bacterial small subunit ribosomal RNA", at positions 301 to 980 of the family's 1533-position model. The record is from RNAcentral.